GCUGCAGCCGGCCUCUAAAGUUAUUUUGAGGUUUUGAGAGUUCAACAUCUAAAAUUUAAAUUCUUUUGAGAUCUACCCCAUGUAACUUCUGACAUUUAAAAUGUACUGGCUGCAAGGCUUUUGUUAAAACACUUUAUAUUCGGAGAAAAGGGGAAAAAAAGGCAAUGUUCUCAAAUUUCCACAGACGCUGAAGCUUCUCGAGUUUUAUAGUUCAAAUUCUUCCUAUAGAAGAAAACAUCUACAGCAAGGACGUUUGAAUGUGGAAUUCCCUUAGAAUGUGGAUGCAUAAUGAUAAACAUAAGGAAGGGACUUGCAGCACCCGGUGAUCCCAGGAACAAAUGGCUGUCUGACAGGCAGUCUACUAGAUUUCAUAUUGCCGUGGCACUAUUUCAACACUGGUGGGUGUUGACACAAGAUGUGUAAAUCAAAGUACUGAAGCCAGGUGAUACAACAGAACUACCCUUUGAGUUCAGGGAUGCAGAAUGUAUUCAGCAAGCAAAACUGACCAAAAUCAUGCUUCAUCUAUCCAUGGUUGCCUGAAACAGUAGUCUAUAUUCAUGGAUCAAGACUUCAUUACUACUUGUUCUCCAGCUCAAAUACAAUCUGGCUCCCAUCGUGGCCACUCCUCUGCUUUCAUCAGAGUCACCAAUGUCUUCCAGAUGAUACAUCCAAGGUUUCUUCGUGACUGUAUUUAACUCUUAAAAUACAGUUUUUCAAACAGUGAUUCACUAAAGUACUCUGGAACCUAAGAGGCAUUUUCCCAUUAAGAUGAUGUGAUAAGACCAUUAACUAAAGGACAGUGAAGCAGAAUUGGAAAGGAAAAACUACAUUUCCAAAAUAUGCAGACUUUUAUAUACCACCAUCAAUAAUUUUUUUCUUCUGGAAUAGGCAUGUGCAAUUACACCAGUGUUGGAAUCCCUGCCCACAACGACUCUACCUGAACUGUAGAGCUGAUUUCUGAUGCAAAGCCACCUGUCAAAGGAGCUUCAUGACUGAUUAGCAGUCGUCCUGUUUUGAUCACAGACUGAAAGAGAAAAGAAAAACCUGAUGUUGGAGAAAAUAGGCAUUUCAAGCAUACAAUUUAAUUCAGCAAUAAAAAAUAAAUUACUCCGAUUCAAUACAUUAGAUAAAAAUCAGUAAUUCGAUUUUAUGCCAAAAAUUCUUUUUAAACUGCAUAGUCACCUGAAUUUUGUACUGUUAAAAAUUUUUUUCAAUAUAGUUCACAUUCCCAGUGCAAAAGAAAAAUUAGAUUGUAAUUCUAUAUGUGCAAUUAAAAAUUCAUGGCCAUUAAUAUAUUUUUCUGUGGAAAAUGAAUUACUGAAUUUCAUAUUUUACCUCAAUAUCAAUUAUUUCCUUCAUAUUAUUUUAAGAAUGAAAGUGCUUUCUCGUUCACUUUGAGGAAUACACAUAUAAAUAACAGCUCUCAUAAAUGUUGCUUGUAGAAAACACAGAAAUAGCUCAUAAAAGCUGUAGCAAAGGAAAAGUACAGCUACUACACAUUUGAGGAAACCCAGCAGCAAGAAACCACUACUAAAAUAAAAGGGUUAUGACCUUUGUUGUUAAUGAACACUGAAAUAUGGCUAAUGACCGUAACUCUGUUUUACUGUGGAAAGUGUCACAAACAAUAAGGAUAUGUUCGUGACAGUUUUUCACUGUGCUGGUUCACACUCUGCAUAACACACUUUGCCCAAGAAUAAAUCAGAAAGUAUAGCUUUGAUACCAUAACAGGAUGCCAGCUGUGUUGGGAGGUAAAAAUCAUUCAAAUCAACAGCAAGUUAUUGCUUAAAAUACACUGGACAAUUAUGUUACAAAAGAGAAGUAGUAAUUUCUUAAAAUUUCUAACAAUUUGUUAUCCCUUUUCUUAAAAACUAUUUUUGUUAGUUUGUAAAUAUUUUUAUGAAUGCAUGGUUUUACCCAAAUUCAUUCACUAUUCUAAACAGAAUUUUAAAAGUGUGUAGGAAUUUCACCAGUAGAAGCAAAACACUGAGAUAUGGUCAUUAUCUGUGGCAAAAAUAGGCUAUUAUAUCCACUAAAUAAUGAGUGACUAAACACCAUAAAAUUUUAUGAACACUUUAUGGAUAUCACCCCACUACCAAUGAAAUGCUAACCAAUUUUGAAAUAUUAGUAAUUUAGUGUUCUACAAAUCUGAUGAAUUAUGCAAUUUGUAAAAAUCACAAAUUAAAUUUCAAUGUACCUAGACAUAAAUAUGAGACAAAAAUAUUCCAAAAUUAGAAAAAGAAAUUUUCAAAGCGUUCUCUUAACAGUGUUCUAAGGAUGACCAACUACAAAAGCAGAUUCUGACAAUCAGUCCUUACAGCUCUAAAACCCAGAAUUCGGCCAACGUAGAAGGGUCUAACGGGGACAUAGCCAAAAUCCAUCUAAAAGCAUCUUAAAUUCCUGGCAGGAAGAAAUGAGGGAUUUCUAUAUAAAAAAAUGUUGGUGUUACCCUAAAGCCCCAUAUAAUGAAUUGCUCCUUUUUUCUGAGCCCAGGUGUAUACGGGAUCAUAUCACAACACUUUAGAACAAUUCUUGCAAGAAGCAAGGAGAGCAGAUGGUCCAGGCUUCUGUAGCCUGUUGAGUGGAGGGGAAAACAAAGCACAGGUGGACCUAAACCCAUGGGGUUCAUGCAACACAGUGUGUAAGCACAGGAAUGCUGGAAACCUUCUGAGAGUCCUUUGGUAGAGGAAUAGCUACAAUCAAGGGGACUUCAAGAAGGUUUGUAGGAAAAUAGAAGUAAAAGACAAGUUUAUUUUGAUUCAAACAAGCCUGAAAUUCAUGCACAGUUGUUUUUAAUAAAUAUAUUUCUCGUGAA
Oryctolagus cuniculus (rabbit) is the source of this 2812-nucleotide non-coding RNA. NCBI's taxonomy places the organism in Eukaryota, Metazoa, Chordata, Mammalia, Lagomorpha, Leporidae. The record is from RefSeq and is a predicted model, not a curated record.